RNAcentral lists this ribosomal RNA (714 nucleotides) under uncultured Glomeromycotina. RNAcentral describes it as "SSU rRNA". It matches the Rfam family "Eukaryotic small subunit ribosomal RNA", at positions 381 to 1099 of the family's 1831-position model. Lineage: Eukaryota; Fungi; Glomeromycota. The record is from RNAcentral.
UUCCGGAGAGGGAGCCUGAGAAACGGCUACCACAUCCAAGGAAGGCAGCAGGCGCGCAAAUUACCCAAUCCCGACACGGGGAGGUAGUGACAAUAAAUAACAACACAGGGCUCUUUUGGGUCUUGUUAUUGGAAUGAGUACGAUUUAAAUCUCCUAACGAGGAACAAUUGGAGGGCAAGUCUGGUGCCAGCAGCCGCGGUAAUUCCAGCUCCAAUAGCGUAUAUUAAAGUUGUUGCAGUUAAAAAGCUCGUAGUUGAAUUUCAGGCCUGGCUGGACGGUCCGCCCUUCGGGUGAGUACUGUCUGUGGUCGGGUCCUACCUUCUGGCGAAGCGUCAUGGCCUUAACCGGCCGUGGCGGGGAACCAGGACUUUUACUGUGAAAAAAUUAGAGUGUUCAAAGCAGGCAAUCGCUUGGAUACAUUAGCAUGGAAUAAUGGAAUAGGACAAUGGUUCUAUUUGUUGGUUUCUAGGACCGUUGUAAUGAUUAAUAGGGAUAGUUGGGGGCAUUAGUAUUCAAUUGUCAGAGGUGAAAUUCUUGGAUUUAUUGAAGACUAACUACUGCGAAAGCAUUUGCCAAGGAUGUUUUCAUUAAUCAAGAACGAAAGUUAGGGGAUCGAAGACGAUCAGAUACCGUCGUAGUCUUAACCAUAAACCAUGCCGACUAGGAAUCGGGCGAUGUUGACAAAAUGACGCGCUCGGCACCUCAUGGGAAACC